CUUCGGGUAGCGUAAGCGGCGGACGGGUGAGUACGCGUAGGAAUCUACCCAGUAGCUGGGGGAUAGCCCGGGGAAACUCGGAUUAAUACCGCAUACGCCCUAUGGGGGAAAGAUGGGCUCUUCUUGAAAGCUAUCGCUAUUGGAGGAGCCUGCGUUGGAUUAGCUAGUUGGUGGGGUAAAGGCCUACCAAGGCGACGAUCCAUAGCUGGUCUGAGAGGACGAUCAGCCACACUGGGACUGAGACACGGCCCAGACUCCUACGGGAGGCAGCAGUCGGGAAUAUUGGACAAUGGGCGCAAGACUGAUCCAGUCCAUGCGGGCUGUGUGUAGUGAAGGAGGCAUGAGGUUGUAGAAGAGCAUUUAAGGGAGUGAACGAACAGGCGUAUGGGUGAAAUAAUCUUGACGUUUUUGAAGUUUAGCUCCAGGAAGAAGCACCGGGUUAAAUCCGUGGCAACAAGCCGGGGUAAUACGGAGGGUGCGAAUGUUAAUUGGAAAUAACUGGGCGUAAAGCGCGCGUAGGCGGGUUGUUAAGUAAGAUGUGAAAGCCCGGGGUAAACUGGGAAUUGGCUUUGAAAUUGGGAAGAUUAGAGUUGCAGGAGAGGGCAGUGGGAUUCCCAGUUGUACGGUGAAA
Molecule: ribosomal RNA, 631 nt
Filed under: uncultured Pseudomonadota bacterium
Lineage: Bacteria; Pseudomonadati; Pseudomonadota
Description: bacterial SSU rRNA
Rfam family: Bacterial small subunit ribosomal RNA
Source: RNAcentral